CCUACGGGAGGCAGCAGUAGGGAAUAUUGCUCAAUGGGGGAAACCCUGAAGCAGCAACGCCGCGUGGAGGAUGAAGGUUUUCGGAUUGUAAACUCCUUUUGGUAGAGAAGAUAGUGACGGUAUCUAACGAAUAAGCACCGGCUAACACCGUGACAGCAGCCGCGGUAAUACGGCGGGUGCAAGCUUUACUCGGAAUCACUGGGCGGAAAGAGCGCGUAGGCUGGGUAGCAAGUCAGAUGUGAAAUCCUAUGGCUUAACCAUAGAACUGCAUUUGAAACUGUUAUUCUAGAGUAUGGGAGAGGUAGGUGGAAUUCUUGGUGUAGGGGUAAAAUCCGUAGAUAUCAAGAGGAAUACUCAUUGCGAAGGCGACCUGCUAGAACAUAACUGACGCUGAUGCGCGAAAGCGUGGGGAGCAAACAGGAUUAGAUACCCCAGUAGUC
RNAcentral lists this ribosomal RNA (440 nucleotides) under uncultured bacterium. RNAcentral's name for it is "partial 16S ribosomal RNA". It matches the Rfam family "Bacterial small subunit ribosomal RNA", at positions 338 to 795 of the family's 1533-position model. The record is from RNAcentral.